RNAcentral lists this ribosomal RNA (864 nucleotides) under uncultured bacterium. RNAcentral describes it as "bacterial SSU rRNA". It matches the Rfam family "Bacterial small subunit ribosomal RNA", at positions 28 to 897 of the family's 1533-position model. The record is from RNAcentral.
AUUGAACGCUGGCGGCAUGCUAACACAUGCAAGUCGAACGAGUUGUAGCAAUACAGCUAGUGGCGGACGGGUGAGGAAUACAUAGGAAUUUGCCUUUAAGUGGGGGAUAGCCCGGGGAAACUCGGAGUAAUACCGCAUGAUGUCGAGAGACCAAAGCAGGGGACCGCAAGGCCUUGCGCUUUUAGAGAAGCCUAUGUCGGAUUAGCUAGUUGGUAGGGUAAUGGCCUACCAAGGCGACGAUCCGUAACUGGUCUGAGAGGACGAUCAGUCACACUGGAACUGAGACACGGUCCAGACUCCUACGGGAGGCAGCAGUGGGGAAUAUUGGACAAUGGGCGCAAGCCUGAUCCAGCAAUGCCGCGUGUGUGAAGAAGGCCUUCGGGUUGUAAAGCACUUUAAGCAGGGAAGAAAAAAUCGGCGAUAACAUCGCCGGUCUUGACGGUACCUGAAGAAUAAGCACCGGCUAACUCUGUGCCAGCAGCCGCGGUAAUACAGAGGGUGCAAGCGUUAAUCGGAUUUACUGGGCGUAAAGCGUGUGUAGGUGGUUGGGAAAGUCGAUUGUGAAAUCCCUGGGCUCAACCCGGGAACUGCUUUCGAAACUGUCUGACUAGAAUUCGGUAGAGGGAGGCGGAACUCCAGGUGUAGCGGUGAAAUGCGUAGAUAUCUGGAAGGACACCAAUGGCGAAGGCAACCUCCUGGGCCUGAAUUGACACUGAGACACGAAAGCGUGGGGAUCAAACAGGAUUAGAUACCCUGGUAGUCCACGCCGUAAACGAUGAGAACUUGACGUCGGUUUGCUCUGCGAAUCGGUGUCGUAGCUAACGCGAUAAGUUCUCCGCCUGGGGAGUGCGGCCGCAAGGUUGA